This 4248-nucleotide long non-coding RNA is filed under the name Pelobates cultripes (western spadefoot toad). The record is from RNAcentral. Lineage: Eukaryota; Metazoa; Chordata; Amphibia; Anura; Pelobatidae.
ACCACUCACUCCCCCUCCCAUCGUGUAUCCAAAAGUCUGUAAUGAUGACACUACAUUCUGUAGGGAGGUUUAAACAAGAGCCCCCUUUCUCUGUUAACCAAUUGGUGAAUGUAUACUGUAUGUUUAAACUGUGACGUAUUUUUGCUUUAAGAAGGAGCCCCCACUCCGGGGAAUAAAGCAUUCCUGAGUUUUUCACUGAUCAGAAACUUUGUCUCCGGUGUGAAUUACUUCUAGGGAUAGCGUGCACGCAUUAAUCAAUCAAUUUGGAAGGUGUAGAUAGACAAAUUAUCAAAGUUUUCUUUGGUCCAAAUCAGUUGGCGCACUUCCGAACAGGGACGAGAGGGUUGUUGUUAUUCUGCUCGAAGCCGUAAAAUCCCAGGACCGGAGAGGAGACCCCCAGAGAUUGGAAAAAAAAAAAAAGAGCCUGAUCACCUCUGCAUAUGGUAAAUGAGUAACUUACCUAUAUUUUCCAUUCUUUGGAAUUGGUCUGCACUCUGGGCCUUCACUCGGCUUCCUGUGGUUAACGUCAGACAGGUAUAUAGUAUGCCCACAUGUCCCCUUUUAUAUAGAACCUGUCACUUGUCUAUCUACAGCCUGAGUCCUGAGUGUGAGUUUUAUGUGUGAAAGUGUCUGUUUGAGAAUCUGUUUUACUUUCUUGUGAUUAUUUAAUUCAGGGUGCAAAUAUACCUGGAGUUUUUAGGCCAGAUUAUAUUAAUUAAUAUUUUAAUAUUAAUUCUUGGCGUUUCCUUUGUUGUUUUUCAUUUAAAUUCAGGUGUGCAGAAUAGCCCCUGGUGGUUAGUUUUUGUCCGAUUAAGAAUAGAUCGUGGCGUUUCCUUUGUUGUUUUUAAUUUAAAUUCAGGUGUGCAGAAUAGCCCCUGGUGGUUAGUUUUUGUCCGAUUAAGAAUAGAUCGUGGCGUUUCCUUUGUUGUUUUUCCUUUAAGUUCAGGCGUGCAGAAUAGCCCCUGGAGGUUUAGUUUUUUGUCCGAUUCAUAUUAAAAAUAGAUCGUGGCGAUUCUUUUGUUGUUUUAAUAAAAAACAACAAACAAAGAGUGAAGUUGUUGUAUAUGUGCUUGAGUGUUUCUGUGUGUGAUUUGAUUUAUUAUAAGCCGGCAUUUAUUUUAAGAACUUUGUGAUUUAAUUACAUCUGUAUUUUGUGCUUUUGUCUGUGUAUGUCUUGUUAGGUACCAUAUAUGUUAAUUGUAAUCUAUACAAUUUGUAUCGUUACUCUCCUAUUCUAUCUUUUGUCCUAAGGAGAGCUGUGCUUAGGCAAUCACAUGGUUAAAAAACUUUGUGCUUGCAAGUCUUCCUCCCUCCUCCCCCCUCCUUCUUUGUUGCUUUCUCUUGCUCUGACUGCUAUGAGUAUUGGCUACAGGGGGGUGGGGUGAAUGGGUGAAAUGCUUGUAAACUCAGUGAGGAAUGUGAGGGAAACAAGGUAUAUUUGCUGGACGAAUAACCUAGUUAGGAACUUUGUGUAAUCUUGUAUAUGUUGUUAAGUAAGAGGUUAUUGGCAUGUUGGAAUAAGGAAAGUUAGAUUUUGUUGGAACAAAUGAAUUGUGGAAUUUAUAAAUGAUAUCGCAGAGAAAAGUAAAUUGCAGUUUGCAUUUAAUAGCAGCUAUUCAGAUGCUGUUUUGUGGCAAUCUUUAUACACACAAUGUGAAAUUGCCAAUAGUGAAAUUGACAAGAAAUUGUUUGUUAAUAAGAAAAAAAAAAAAAAAAAAAAAAAGAUCAGAAAUGUUAUGAAACUAGUCUGUACUUACAGUGCAUUGAUUUGUAAACGUAAUGCAGGUCAAGACAAUUUAGAAUCAUCAGAAAAAGAAGUAGAUUUGAAUGGGUUAACAGAAGACAAAUCAGAUUUAAAUGAACAGUGUAACAAUGUAACAGGGAGCACAUGCUGUAAACAGUCAGAAACAGUCUGUGAAUUAGAGGAUAGAGUUGAACUAAGAAAUGAUCUUAUUUGCCAGCUUAGAAAUGAAGUUAAGCAAGUGUGUGUUAAUACAAGAAAAAUACAGACACAGAAUCUAAUCCCAGAACCAAUAGAUACUGAAAAUGUAUCCUCACAGAGUGAUUUGCAGAAAAUAUAAAUUUCAAGACAGAGCUGCAAAACUUAAUUUGAAAAUACAUGAACAAUUAAUGAAAAUUGUGAAAUGUAUUCCAGUUUAUGACACGUCAGUGGAUGCAUUUACUAAUGCUGGAAUGUUUGAGUCAAAUGUGGACAAAUACAGCCUAAAUGACGAACAAAGGAAUAGAUUGUUUAAAAUAUGGCUGCCGACUCAAAUGGCAUGUAGACUGACCACGCUUGUAAAAUUUGAGGACAAUGAUAAAAUAAUAUAUGGAAAUUAGGAGACAGACAAGCAAUGCAGCGUAACACAGAAAGUUAUAAGAAUCAGAUAACUUCAAGAGAUAUGAUCAGUUUAGGGAAUGAGCAUGGAUAUGUCUGCCAACAGAUGUACACAGGCUGAUUCCAGAAUUAAGAACAGCACAAGAAUAGAGAUCUAUGUCAGUUUAUUGUUUUAAAUGAAUUGUUAGUCUGUACUGUCUUUCAUUGUUUUUAUAUGUGUUAUAAGAAAGUAUUAGGUUAAUUAAAAUAAAAAUUUAAAUCAAGUUUGCACAUAUGGCAGAAUGAGAUACACUAAUGUAGCAGUGAGGAACAUGCAAUGUUAUGUUGGGUGUAUGCAAUUAUAUAGUAACUCCAAUCAUUUUACAGAAGAAAAAACAAUAGAUUUAUUCUUUGUUGCUUCUGAGGUUGAUUUAAAAUCUUUGAUUUAAUUCAUGAGAAUGAGAUUUUAAUAUCAUGACUGAUAAUGGAUUACUGUAUAUUGCAACGCCUGGACAUACACAUGGUUUGGAUAUACUGAAGACAAAAGGAAUAAUAUAUGGGAAUGGAUAAGGCUGAUUUCCCCCUAUCCACAGCUACGCCUACUCCUAAAGUAACAUCGCGUACAUCCUUACUAUGCCCUUUUACUGUAGAAUUUCCCGAAUCCUAAUGACCAAUUCCACUACAUGGUGUGACUUGUUUAAGCCUAAGAUAAAUUGGCUGAUCAGGCUACCUGUAUUAACAAUGUCAUCAACGAUGAGUUAGCAUCUGUGGAGAAGUAUCACUUCAGGUUGUCCCAAAUUUUCUUUUAACUUAAGUUUUAGUACAUAGUAAGGCCCAUGCCCAACAACUAUAUGCAGCCUUGUAUAGCAGGCCACAUGACAUCUAUUUGUACCAAGCAAGGCCUGCCUGACUCCUCAUUCCUGUCUAACAUUGUUGUCUCCUGCAUAAGUGUAGAUGGCUCUCUUUGGAGUAGCCUGUUAACUAAGCCUUGCUUUGUGGUUACUUUCACCUGUCCAAUUAAUCUGCUAGGUGCAGAUGUCCUUCCCCCACUUGCAGGCCCCUAUCACCUUAUUAUUUAUUUUGUUCCACACAGUGAAACCUGACCAAGAGGCAAGGGUCCUAGCUAGUUCCCCCAAUACCUUUACCUGAAUUAUACAGGCCCCAAAGCCUGUCCAAGCUCUUACUAUUCCCUAACAGGUUAAGGCUCUGGUGUCGAAUGGUGCCCUGGUUACCUGAGACUUUCCAUGCAAUAUCCCACCUCUCCUUGUGAUGGACGAAUUCUGUGCAGGAUAAUGUCACCCUGCAGGGAUGAUACUCUAUUUACCUGGCCACUCUUCUGCCACUUCCCAAGGGGGGAAAUGAUAAGACACUGACUAUUUUUUUUUUUAGCAUUUUUCUUAUGAUCUGUUCCGGAUUUGCUGUCACUACAGUGGACCAGGUAUCUCACCUCAACAAUGUCUGCACAAGAAGUUGAGCUAUAGGCUCCCAUCACAGCAUGCAAGAUCUCUGAAGGAAGACUGAUCUCGGAGAAAGCAUGUGGCAACUCUCUGGCUGACUAAGUUGUUCAAUAAGUUGUAAGUGCACUAAGGAAAGUGGACAGAAAAGUGUCUACUGAAGAAACUCCCAUAUUCACCAUGUAAGAUCCUACCCACAGACAUCAAGCUCCCGAAGGAAUAACAAGCAAGCUACUGACCCUGGAAAGAAAGAAAAAACAAACAAACCACAAGCUGGAAACAGAAAGGGGCAACUCUUAAAGACAGGCUGUACUUCAACAAUCUCAAGUUAUACUUGCCCAAGAACAUAUACUCAGCAGUGGUCCAGUGGGCCUACGGAGCAUCUGUCCAGAACCCUCAUGAACUCUUUUGAUCAAUAAAUACUCUGAAGUACCAGGAAUUGCCUCUCUGACCAACAGUUACUGUAAAUCUUGUGCC